This 71-nucleotide transfer RNA is filed under the name Halosaurus ovenii. RNAcentral's name for it is "tRNA-Val". It matches the Rfam family "tRNA". Rfam says of the family: Transfer RNA (tRNA) molecules are approximately 80 nucleotides in length. Their secondary structure includes four short double-helical elements and three loops (D, anti-codon, and T loops). Lineage: Eukaryota; Metazoa; Chordata; Actinopteri; Notacanthiformes; Halosauridae. The record is from RNAcentral.
UGGAACGUAGCUAAAAUCUAAAGCACCUCCCUUACACCGAGAAGACGCCCGUGAAAACCAGGCCGCUCCAA